GAUGAACGCUGGCGGCGUGCUUAACACAUGCAAGUCGAACGAUGAAGCCCAGCUUGCUGGGUGGAUUAGUGGCGAACGGGCGAGUAACACGUGAGUAACCUGCCCUUAACUCUGGGAUAAGCCUGGGAAACUGGGUCUAAUACCGGAUAGGAGCGUCCACCGCAUGGUGGGUGUUGGAAAGAUUUAUCGGUUUUGGAUGGACUCGCGGCCUAUCAGCUUGUUGGUGAGGUAAUGGCUCACCAAGGCGACGACGGGUAGCCGGCCUGAGAGGGUGACCGGCCACACUGGGACUGAGACACGGCCCAGACUCCUACGGGAGGCAGCAGUGGGGAAUAUUGCACAAUGGGCGCAAGCCUGAUGCAGCGACGCCGCGUGAGGGAUGACGGCCUUCGGGUUGUAAACCUCUUUCAGUAGGGAGGAAGCGAAAGUGACGGUACCUGCAGAAGAAGCACCGGCUAACUACGUG
This 466-nucleotide ribosomal RNA is filed under the name uncultured bacterium. RNAcentral describes it as "partial 16S ribosomal RNA". It matches the Rfam family "Bacterial small subunit ribosomal RNA", at positions 28 to 507 of the family's 1533-position model. The record is from RNAcentral.